RNAcentral lists this non-coding RNA (152 nucleotides) under Nomascus leucogenys (northern white-cheeked gibbon). Lineage: Eukaryota; Metazoa; Chordata; Mammalia; Primates; Hylobatidae. The record is from Rfam by way of RNAcentral.
ACCGGGCGUGGUGGAGGGCGCCUGUAAUCCUAACUACUGGGGAGGCUGAGGCAGGAGAAUCGCUUGAGCCCGGGAGGUGGAGGUUGCAGUGAGUGAGCCGAGAUCACGCCACUGCACUCCAGCCCGGGCGAUAGAGUGAGACUCUGUCUCAA